RNAcentral lists this ribosomal RNA (465 nucleotides) under uncultured bacterium. Its description in RNAcentral is "partial 16S ribosomal RNA". It matches the Rfam family "Bacterial small subunit ribosomal RNA", at positions 338 to 795 of the family's 1533-position model. The record is from RNAcentral.
CCUACGGGUGGCAGCAGUGGGGAAUAUUGCGCAAUGGGCGAAAGCCUGACGCAGCGACGCCGCGUGAGGGAUGAAGGUCCUCGGAUCGUAAACCUCCGUUAGCAGGGAAGUACGGUCACUGUGCUAAUCAGCAGUGAAUUGACGGUAUCUGCAAAGGAAGCAUCGGCUAACUCCGUGCCAGCAGCCGCGGUAAUACGGUGGGUGCGUGCGUUAAUCGGAAUUACUGGGCGUAAAGGGGUCGUAGGCGGUAUGUCAAGUCAAGGGUGAAAUCCCCGGGCUCAACGGGGGAACUGCCUUUGAAACUGGCAGACUGGAGUGUGUGAGGGGAUAGUGGAAUUCCAGGUGUAGGAGUGAAAUCCGUAGAUAUCUGGAGGAACAUCAGUGGCGAAGGCGACUAUCUGGCACAUAACUGACGCUGAGGAGCGAAAGCGUGGGUAGCAAACAGGAUUAGAUACCCCUGUAGUC